UGAUUGGCAAGUUCGCUGCAAGGUGGCGGUGGUGCUCUGCUCUUGCGGCAUUUCUUGCUCUCUAUCAAGUUCUUUGAGCUUCAGUUUCUUCUCCGACAACGUUGGCGGUGAGCUCAUCCAGCGAGACAUCAUCCGGGUGACGUUCAUGCCAUGGAUUUUUAUCUGGUUGCUCUUCCUCUUCGCCUUCUUGUGCAGUAAUAAGCGUGAAGAGUUCUCAUUCUGGAAAAUAUCUUUCUGAACUUGACGUGAUGACCUCCGUGGUGCCCUCUUCCUUGUAGAUGGGUGAAAGUGGAGCUCCCUCCUGGUACGGGAGAGUGUCAAGGUAGGCGAUGAGACAUGAGUCAUCGUUCAUGGCUAGAGUGGGUGGUUUCAUGUUGGGCCAAUAGACGAAUCUUCC
This 397-nucleotide long non-coding RNA is filed under the name Setaria italica (foxtail millet). Its description in RNAcentral is "long non-coding RNA (SITA_LNC000295)". The record is from RNAcentral. Lineage: Eukaryota; Viridiplantae; Streptophyta; Magnoliopsida; Poales; Poaceae.